Long non-coding RNA from Alligator mississippiensis (American alligator), 3135 nucleotides. RefSeq lists it as uncharacterized. The transcript has 4 exons. NCBI's taxonomy places the organism in Eukaryota, Metazoa, Chordata, Crocodylia, Alligatoridae. The record is from RefSeq and is a predicted model, not a curated record.
GGUAGCAGUGGCCUCUCUUGGCUAACCCUAUUCCUAGAAUCCUGAGCUGGGUCAAGCCAGGUUUGGAGUCACUUUGGCCUCUGCUUGCAGACUCCCUCAGGCGCCACCCAGAUGAGAUUCAGUCUGGGAGCAGCUUCCCUGCAGCACCCAACUAUGAGGAGCUGAACCAGAACCUGCAGCCACAGGACUGGCCACCAGAGCCCCCCGCUGUGCUUGCUCCAACCUGGCAGACAGAAGGUAUCUCAUCUGGCUUAUCCACGGAGGCCAAUUACUGUAACAGUGGCAACACCACCCAGCUGCCCUGGAGCACCCCAACCCUGCCAGCUGCUGGGAGCCACCUCCUGCUAGCCCUGCCUGCCCAAGGCACCAGUGGAUCCCAGAUCUCCUUCCAAGCAGGAACUGACAAUGCCGACAGCUCCAGCACAUCAUCCGGAGAAUGGUAUGAAAACAUCCAAGGGAAGGAGCAUGAGGGAGCCCAGAUUGGACAUGCACCCUCCUUCCCUGCGUGGACAGCCCACUCCACACCGUCAGGCAACCAUAUACCUGGGGGUGACUCUUCCUCAACUGACAGUGAUUACGAUGACAUCCAGACCACCACGUACUAAGGUGGGGGGGUGAGGAGGCACUGCAGAUCUGGGGCCUCUUUCUCAACCUUUCUGUCAUGCCUACUGUCUUCCCUGAACUCAGCAAAGGCCAACUUUUCAUGGAUCCACUCAUCCGUGAGAUGGUCUCAAAAAAAGUAGGCCAGGAAACUCUUGGAGGAUUGAAAGAAGAUCCCAGAUCCCAGAACCGGUUCUGAGUGAGCCAACACGUCCCAGAGCCAUCUCCAAAUGGGUCAUCUCCAAAAGUUCCCAGCUUCAGCCACCAAAUCCCAGAACCAGCCAUGAAUGUGCCAACAGACCCAUGAACCAAUACAGAAUGGCCUGGCACAUGCUAGAAUGGAUCAGCUGGUCCCACUCCAAUCCCCUCAAGAUCCAAAAGGGGCUUCACACCCCCACUGAUUGGUGUUUCUGACUGAACUAGCUGGAGAAAGCAGCUUAGCUCUCUCCCACCCUUGCUUUCCUCAAGUCCCUGCCCGGGGCUUUCUGCUGGCGUUGAACCAGCACCAGCCAUUCAGGAACUUGUGUCUGUAAAUGAGUCCUCUGUGGAGGGCUCUCCCCAGCUUUUUGGGGGCAGGCUGGGCUUUGUGGGCUGUAUUCACAUCUAGGAGAGGCACUUGGAAACCCUGGUGAUAGACACAGCGGAGGCCUACCUGGAGCCCUCAGGACAUAACUAGAAGGCUUCACUCCUCUUUUAAAUGGAGUGGGACAAUGAGCCUGGACCUGGCUGCAAUAGCCCAGUGCUCAAUGUGUAGCCAAGGGCUGGGGGGCCUUGGUUGAAAUCCAGGGGAUAAGUUCUCCUCCAUGGGCAGAAGUGUAGGGAGGGGGUGGGACAAUUGUGCUGCUGCACUGGGCCCUGAUGAUAGGUGUUUUACUGGUGGAGUGUCUAGGGACAGUUUUGUCGCAGUGACAAGGCCUCUCACUCUUGACAUAUGAAUUUCCUCCCUGACUUUGCAGGCACCUGAGGUCAGCGUGGCUGAGUCACUUUACAAACACUCCCCCCCCAACCCCCCAGCACCUCUUCAUUCAGUCAUGGAGAGCAGACUGACAGCUCACCUCCUGGUGACACAUGAGCCCCCAUUGACUGAGGGGCUCUGAGGUCAUGGAUUCAUUGGUCUGGUAGGGAACCUCAAGUCCAUCCCUGCACAGAGAUGCAGAGCUAAUGGCAGCUACCACUUCCAUAGCACCCUGACUUCGCAACGGCAUUGAUGUGAAGCGACUUGCUUGAGUUCUCCCAGGAAGCAACUGGCAGAGCUAAGACUAUACACCAGUCUUCUGAAUCCCACCCGUAUUUGUUCCACUGCUCCAUGGACAUUUGGAUCUUGCAAUACUCCCUUCCUCACAGAGGAGUGGUUGAGUAACAAGUGAGAGCUGGGUUGAGGCCUGUUGGCAAUGGCAGGCAAUGUACUGCUACUGCCAUUACUGAACCCAGCACCAAAGCUCUCCACACAAAGGCCUUUCCCUGGAAAGAGGGUGUUGAGUCCAGGCCCCAGCAGAGGCAGCAUCCUCUCAGGCGGAUCAGGCUUUAGCACCGGCGUGCCAGGGACAUGGCUUCUUUCCCAUACAAAGAAAAGGUGAAAAUGGGUGGGGAUGGAGAAAUCACUUUCAUCAACAUUCUUCUUUGGGGAGGGGAAUUGGAACCUAGGUCUUUUUCAACCCAGAACAUUUCAACCCAACCAGAUGCUCUGAGGUUGGGAAUGCUGGUCAAAAUCCCCCUUUUUCAUGCUAAAAAGAAAUGUGAUGGAAGAGCCCUGCUCUGUGAACAUCCACAGUAACAAUUGUGACCCACGGGCCUAAUCCUUCCUCACUGCCAAGCCUGCCUGUCCCUGUGCAUUCUGGAGUGCUCUAGGAACAGAGUCCUGCCUCUGGGCAGGGCUCAGACUUUAAGGUCCCUUCCAGCCCUGUGAUUCUUUGAUUCAUACCAUAUGCCCUGUGGGUGCCUGCCAAUCCUCAUGGUGACCCUACCUGGUAGGUGGGAAUUAUACAGGAGGAAACCCAGGCACAGGUAGAUAAAGUAACUUGUCAAAGGCCACACAGCAAAUCCUUGCAGCCACCCACCAAGCUCCCAGCCUCUACCCCACACUCAUUCCUCCUGACCCCUCUAGCUGUGCCUGAGAUUCUGCUCCUAGACCUGGCUCAGGGGUAUUUAUUUAGUCGUCAGAUGCCUGCACUCUGGUGGUGGGGCCCUGAACCAGAACCUCGGCAUCUAGCGCAUGACCUCGAGGGGCCAGAUUGGAGUGGGUGGCAAUAAUGAAUGUAUCUUCCAGGACCUGAGAGUACAUAUGACCUGGCAGAAGCAGAGAGGUGUUGGGUUGGAAUGUAUUCCCACUCUCAGCGGCUCAGGCAGCUGCACUUUGUACCAAGCUAAGCAUGUUGUGAGAUUAAAAGCUUUAAUAUCAAAGGGGUUGGGGGAAAAAUCUGUUCAUUGAAGGUCUGAGAUGGUGUCUUUGGACAGCGCAAGCUUUGCAGUGGUGCUCCUGAGCACAGCACAGGAGUGGUGAAAAUGGUCCCUGGAUCUUGAGGUGGAGAACCUAGU